CAUCCCUCAGGAGGGGCUUUGAGUUACUUCAUGGAUGGGUCCCGGGCAAAAUGACCCUAGCAGGACCUAAGGAACAGGCUUGCAAACCUGCAGAUCUCUGGCCCUCACCUACCCGAAGCGCCUGAUAACGUAAAGUCUGCAGCCACCCAGGCUUGGGGCGCAAGUGACCCGGAGAGUUUUGAAGUCCUCUGCUUCGGAAAGCGCGCAUCAGUGAGCGGGCUCUUCCGCGGAGCCAAAUAGGCCCGGAUUCCCACCAUGUCACGAUGGAGCCCAGGACGCUUCCUCUCUGUGGUUCAGUCCAGACACGGGGCUCGCAAGGCCUGCCGGGACGGCCGGACUUCCGGACUUCCGGUCCUCGCUGAGGCCAGACUUUGCGUGGGGCUGUGGGGAGGCGCGGACACAGACCUGAACUAGGAGCGGCUGCUGUAGUGCGAGAGGGGUCCUCUGAGCUUUUACAAAACAGUACUACAGCAAGUGCGGAGUGUGAGUCACACCUUCCUCGGCGUUGUGAGAAUGAAAUAACAGCUCUACCAAGGUGCCAAAUAUUUCCCUCCUCAUUGGGCCUCUUGAUUAUUAUUGACUUGAAAGAGUUGCUUCGGUUGUUGACUUUCAAGUGCUGCAGGCAGACCCUUAAGCCACCAGUCAUUUAUAAAGAGCCAAUGAAAGACAAAGAUAUAAUUACCAGCUUGUGUGAAGACAUGCCUUUCUCCUUCCGUUCUUGUUUAAAGUUAGCUGAACCAAUGCCACUUUCAAAUGCACAGAUUAUUCCCAUUCAAAAGGCUACAAAUUCAUGA
RNAcentral lists this long non-coding RNA (794 nucleotides) under Fukomys damarensis (Damara mole-rat). RNAcentral describes it as "lncRNA (ENSFDAG00000031062.1)". Lineage: Eukaryota; Metazoa; Chordata; Mammalia; Rodentia; Bathyergidae. The record is from RNAcentral.